RNAcentral lists this ribosomal RNA (1074 nucleotides) under Klebsiella aerogenes. RNAcentral describes it as "bacterial SSU rRNA". It matches the Rfam family "Bacterial small subunit ribosomal RNA", at positions 398 to 1467 of the family's 1533-position model. Lineage: Bacteria; Pseudomonadati; Pseudomonadota; Gammaproteobacteria; Enterobacterales; Enterobacteriaceae. The record is from RNAcentral.
CCCCCGGUAGGAGAAAGCCUUCGGGUUGUAAAGUCCUUCACCGAGGAGGAAGGCGUUAAGGUUAAUACCUUGGCGAUUGACGUUCCUCGCAGAAGAAGCACCGGCUAACUCCGUGCCACCAGCCGCGGUAAUACGGAGGGUCCAAGCGUUAAUCGGAAUUACUGGGCGUAAAGCGCACGCAGGCGGUCUGUCAAGUCGGAUGUGAAAUCCCCGGGCUCAACCUGGGAACUGCAUUCGAAACUGGCAGGCUAGAGUCUUGUAGAGGGGGGUAGAAUUCCAGGUGUAGCGGUGAAAUGCGUAGAGAUCUGGAGGAAUACCGGUGGCGAAGGCGGCCCCCUGGACAAAGACUGACGCUCAGGUGCGAAAGCGUGGGGAGCAAACAGGAUUAGAUACCCUGGUAGUCCACGCCGUAAACGAUGUCGACUUGGAGGUUGUGCCCUUGAGGCGUGGCUUCCGGAGCUAACGCGUUAAGUCGACCGCCUGGGGAGUACGGCCGCAAGGUUAAAACUCAAAUGAAUUGACGGGGGCCCGCACAAGCGGUGGAGCAUGUGGUUUAAUUCGAUGCAACGCGAAGAACCUUACCUACUCUUGACAUCCAGAGAACUUAGCAGAGAUGCUUUGGUGCCUUCGGGAACUCUGAGACAGGUGCUGCAUGGCUGUCGUCAGCUCGUGUUGUGAAAUGUUGGGUUAAGUCCCGCAACGAGCGCAACCCUUAUCCUUUGUUGCCAGCGGUCCGGCCGGGAACUCAAAGGAGACUGCCAGUGAUAAACUGGAGGAAGGUGGGGAUGACGUCAAGUCAUCAUGGCCCUUACGAGUAGGGCUACACACGUGCUACAAUGGCAUAUACAAAGAGAAGCGACCUCGCGAGAGCAAGCGGACCUCAUAAAGUAUGUCGUAGUCCGGAUUGGAGUCUGCAACUCGACUCCAUGAAGUCGGAAUCGCUAGUAAUCGUAGAUCAGAAUGCUACGGUGAAUACGUUCCCGGGCCUUGUACACACCGCCCGUCACACCAUGGGAGUGGGUUGCAAAAGAAGUAGGUAGCUUAACCUUCGGGAGGGCGCUUACCACUUGGCAU